UAGUCAUAUGCUUGUCUCAAAGAUUAAGCCAUGCAUGUCUAAGCACAAGCCGAUUUAAUGGUGAAGCCGCGAAUGGCUCAUUACAACAGCCAUAGUUUCUUAGAUCUUACUUUUCUACUUGGAUAACUGUGGUAAUUCUAGAGCUAGGGCACGCAAACAAGCUCAGACCUUACGGAAUGAGCGCAUUUAUUAGAACAAAAACCAAUCGGAUUUCGGUCCGUCAUUUGGUGAAUCUGAAUAACUUUGCUGAUCGCACGGUCAUCGUACCGGCGACAUAUCUUUCAAAUGUCUGCCUUAUCAACUUUCGAUGGUAGUUUAUGCGCCUACCAUGGUUGUAACGGGUAACGGAGAAUAAGGGUUCGACUCCGGAGAGGGAGCCUGAGAAACGGCUACCACAUCCAAGGAAGGCAGCAGGCACGCAAAUUACCCACUCCCGGCACGGGGAGGUAGUGACGAAAAAUAACGAGACGGCUCGCUAUGCGGUCCGUCAUCGGAAUGAGUACAAUUUAAAUCCUUUAACGAGGAUCUAUUGGAGGGCAAGUCUGGUGCCAGCAGCCGCGGUAAUUCCAGCUCCAAUAGCAUAUAUUAAAGUUGUUGCGGUUAAAACGCCCGUAGUUGGAUCAGCGGAUUUGGAGAACGGUCUGCCGAUGGGCUGUACUGUUCUCCUGUCCUAUUCAUCUCUAGUUCGCUCUAGGUGCUCUUCAUUGAGUGUCUAGGGUGGCUGGAACUUUUACUUUGAAAAAAUUAGAGUGCUCAAAGCAGG
This 763-nucleotide ribosomal RNA is filed under the name uncultured eukaryote. RNAcentral describes it as "SSU rRNA". It matches the Rfam family "Eukaryotic small subunit ribosomal RNA", at positions 21 to 784 of the family's 1831-position model. The record is from RNAcentral.